This 86-nucleotide non-coding RNA is filed under the name Sodalis sp. TME1. Lineage: Bacteria; Pseudomonadati; Pseudomonadota; Gammaproteobacteria; Enterobacterales; Bruguierivoracaceae. The record is from RNAcentral.
CUCUAUGGUGGCUCAGGCAGGGGAACCGAAAGGUUCACCGGUUCACGGUAUCCGGCAUUUCCAACCCUGUCUGGGCUACCACCACG